RNAcentral lists this ribosomal RNA (373 nucleotides) under uncultured organism. RNAcentral describes it as "bacterial SSU rRNA". It matches the Rfam family "Bacterial small subunit ribosomal RNA", at positions 526 to 895 of the family's 1533-position model. The record is from RNAcentral.
CGUAGGGGGCGAGCGUUGUCCGGAUUUAUUGGGCGUAAAGAGCUCGUAGGCGGCUUGGCAAGUCGGGUGUGAAACCUCCAGGCUCAACCUGGAGACGCCACUCGAUACUGCUAUGGCUAGAGUCCGGUAGGGGACCACGGAAUUCCUGGUGUAGCGGUGAAAUGCGCAGAUAUCAGGAGGAACACCGGUGGCGAAGGCGGUGGUCUGGGCCGGCACUGACGCUGAGGAGCGAAAGCGUGGGUAGCAAACAGGAUUAGAUACCCUGGUAGUCCACGCCGUAAACGUUGGGCACUAGGUGUGGGGCCUUAUCAGCGGGUUCCGUGCCGUAGCUAACGCAUUAAGUGCCCCGCCUGGGGAGUACGGCCGCAAGGCU